GACGAACGCUGGCGGCGUGCUUAACACAUGCAAGUCGAACGGAGUGGCGAACGGGUGAGUAACACGUGGGUGACCUGCCCUGCACUUCGGGAUAAGCCGGGGAAACUGGGUCUAAUACCGGAUAGUGUGGGAUGGGCCCGCGGCCUAUCAGCUUGUUGGUGGGGUAAUGGCCUACCAAGGCGGCGACGGGUAGCCGGCCUGCGAAGGUGGACGGCCACAAUGGGACUGAGGCAGGGCCCAGGCUCCAACGGGAGGCAUCGGUGGGGAAUAUUGCACAGUGAGGGGAAGCCUGAGACGGGGACGCCGGGUGGGGAAUGCCGGCCUUCGGGUUAUAAACUCCUUUCGCCAUAUACGCGGUAGAUGGAGAAGAAGCACCGGCUAACUACGUGCCAGCAGCCGCGGUAAUAC
This 408-nucleotide ribosomal RNA is filed under the name uncultured bacterium. Its description in RNAcentral is "partial 16S ribosomal RNA". It matches the Rfam family "Bacterial small subunit ribosomal RNA", at positions 28 to 526 of the family's 1533-position model. The record is from RNAcentral.